GUAGCUCAGUGGUAGAGUGCUUGCCUUGCAUGCAUAAGGUCCUGGGUUCAAUUCCUCAGC
This 60-nucleotide transfer RNA is filed under the name Dipodomys ordii (Ord's kangaroo rat). It matches the Rfam family "tRNA", at positions 7 to 64 of the family's 71-position model. Rfam says of the family: Transfer RNA (tRNA) molecules are approximately 80 nucleotides in length. Their secondary structure includes four short double-helical elements and three loops (D, anti-codon, and T loops). Lineage: Eukaryota; Metazoa; Chordata; Mammalia; Rodentia; Heteromyidae. The record is from Rfam by way of RNAcentral.